AAUGUCACCACCAGUAUAAGGCAUGGGGGCAGAAGUGAUUGUUGGUGUUCUUUCUUUGGGGUGUUCUGGGCGGCCAGAGACGUAAAGGCCAUUGCUGAGCUGGUGAGAUGGGAAUCUAGAACCCAUUAAAUCGUUUUCCCAAGUCUGAGAGAGUGAGAAAAGAGGAGUUGCAGUCCGUACUAGCUAGUCGGUAAGCAUCACCAUCGCCAAAUUCAGAGUAAAUAAUGAGAUUUCAACCUAAAGUAAAAGGAGC
Molecule: unclassified non-coding RNA, 253 nt
Filed under: Hevea brasiliensis (rubber tree)
Lineage: Eukaryota; Viridiplantae; Streptophyta; Magnoliopsida; Malpighiales; Euphorbiaceae
Source: RNAcentral